This 253-nucleotide ribosomal RNA is filed under the name uncultured bacterium. RNAcentral describes it as "partial 16S ribosomal RNA". It matches the Rfam family "Bacterial small subunit ribosomal RNA", at positions 524 to 776 of the family's 1533-position model. The record is from RNAcentral.
UACGUAGGGUGCAAGCGUUGUCCGGAAUUAUUGGGCGUAAAGAGCUCGUAGGCGGUCUGUUGCGUCGGCUGUGAAAACCCGGGGCUCAACCCCGGGCCUGCAGCCGAUACGGGCAGACUAGAGUUCGGCAGGGGAGACUGGAAUUCCUGGUGUAGCGGUGAAAUGCGCAGAUAUCGGUAGGAACACCAAUGGCGAAGGCAGCACUCUGGGACGUGACUGACGCUGAGACGCGAAAGCGUGGGGAGCAAACAGG